This 305-nucleotide long non-coding RNA is filed under the name Elaeis guineensis (African oil palm). RNAcentral describes it as "long non-coding RNA (EGUI_LNC019916)". Lineage: Eukaryota; Viridiplantae; Streptophyta; Magnoliopsida; Arecales; Arecaceae. The record is from RNAcentral.
GUUGUGACACAUUUUCUUCAAUAUCUUGCUCCACAUCUUCUUUUUUCUUGAGAAAGAGUGUCUUCAAAAUUCAUAUCCUUUAACUUCUUCCCAAGAUUUUCUGCAUCCACAUCAAGCUCUUCUUUUCUUGCUUUAAAAGAGUAAGUCUCAUCAAAAAUAACAUGCACUGAUUCUUCUACUAUCAAUAUUCUUUUGUUAAAUACUCUGUAUGCUCUACUAUAAGAUGAAUAACCUAAAAAUUAAAAUUUCUUCAUCAGAUUUUAUAUUAAAUUUUUCUAGUUUAUCUUUACCAUUUAUUAGAAUAA